CGUGUGGUUCUAUUUUGUUGGUUUCUAGGACCGCCGUAAUGAUUAAUAGGGACAGUCGGGGGCAUCAGUAUUCAAUUGUCAGAGGUGAAAUUCUUGGAUCUAUUGAAGACUAACUACUGCGAAAGCAUUUGCCAAGGAUGUUUUCAUUGAUAAGGAACGAAAGUUAGGGGAUCGAAGACGAUCAGAUACCGUCGUAGUCUUAACUAUAAACUAUGCCGACUAGGGAUCGGACGAUGUUAUCUUUUGACUCGUACGGCACCUUUCGAGAAAUCAAAGUGCUUGGGCUCCAGGGGGAGUAUGGUCGCAAGGCUGAAACUUAAAGAAAUUGACGGAAGGGCACCACCAGGGGUGGAACCUGCGGCUUAAUUUGACUCAACACGGGGAAACUCACCAGGUCCAGACACAGUGAGGAUUGACAGAUUGAUAGCUCUUUCUUGAUUCUGUGGGUGGUGGUGCAUGGCCGUUCUUAGUUGGUGGAGUGAUUUGUCUGCUUAAUUGCGAUAACGAACGAGACCUUAACCUGCUAAAUAGCCCUUAUUGCUUCGGCAGUAAGCUGGCUUCUUAGAGGGACUAUCGGCUCAAGCCGAUGGAAGUUUGAGGCAAUAACAGGUCUGUGAUGCCCUUAGAUGUCCUGGGCCGCACGCGCGUUACACUGACAAAGCCAGCGAGUAUUUCCUUGGCCGGAANGCCCGGGUAAUCUUGUUAAACUUUGUCGUGC
This 718-nucleotide ribosomal RNA is filed under the name uncultured fungus. RNAcentral describes it as "SSU rRNA". It matches the Rfam family "Eukaryotic small subunit ribosomal RNA", at positions 827 to 1570 of the family's 1831-position model. The record is from RNAcentral. Lineage: Eukaryota; Fungi.